AUGGGAGAUAACAGCAAGGAUAAGAGUGUGGAUUCAAGUGUUGAAAAACUUUGUGAAAGUAUGCAGCGAAUGCUUGCUCAGCUGAUGGAGCAGGCCCAAGUAAAGUCUAGUAGCUCGACUGAAAUUCAGAAGUCUAUCCUUGAACCGAAUCCAGUUAAAUUGACUGGCCCGGGCGACUAUUUUAGUUGGGCUCGCAAUGCCUCGUUAAUUUUGGAAGCUCAUGGCCUGCAUAAGUACCUAAGUGAAGAUGAGAAGAAACCAACGGAUGUAGUGCAGGAGCAGUGGGAGCAGAAUCAAAAGCGAGUCAUGGUUUGGCUACUGGGCUCAAUGGAAAAAACUGUUCGGGAACAAGUUGAAAGUUUUCAAACUGCUGCUGAAGUCUGGACAAGCAUUGAAAAACAGUUUUCUGGUAAAUCAAACAAAAUGCAGGUUAGCAGAAUAUUGCAUGAGAUGUGGCACUUUAGGCAAGAUCAAAAAUCAGUUACAGAAUAUGCAGGGGAACUCAAGAAACUUUAUAGAGAUCUGGAGUUCUUCCGGCCAUUCAAGCCACAUGAUCCUAGAGAUUUAUCUCUCCUCAGAGAAUGGUUUGAACCAUUGUUGGUGCAGGGUUUUUUGGAAGGCCUGAAUCCCGAGUUUAAACUUCGCUCUCAGAUGAUACAAGCAUCUCCUGACUGGCCUACCUUGGAUCAAACUAUUGCUAGUAUCCUUGAAGAAGAAACUCAUUUGGCUAACCAGGAAGCAACGCCACAGAUGCAUGGUGAUAAUCGUGCUGCACUUACUCACGCACAAACCUCUGUUGCUUCUAGGAGUGAUCAAGCAAAUACUACUAAGUUUGACUACAGAAGGAGAAACAAAGUUGUGUGUGAUCAUUGUAAGAUGCCUGGCCAUGUGAAGAAGAAUUGUUUCGAGUUGGUUGGUUAUCCUCCGGGAUGGAAGCAAAGACAAACAAGCAGGUUCAACGGCAGCGGUAACAACUUUGAGAAGAAGCAGGACCGAGCUCAUCUUACAUCAUCGACAAAAGAGUUACCUGCAACCGCUGCUCAUGCACUAGAAGAGUUCAAGGCAAAGUUGAUGGCCGUUGCUACCGAAGGAUCUAGUGAAGCUGUCGGCUCUCGCGCUACAGAAGGAUUUGAAGUCAGGAAGAAUUCUUGGGACUGGAACUGA
This 1164-nucleotide ribosomal RNA is filed under the name Triticum aestivum (bread wheat). RNAcentral describes it as "partial small subunit ribosomal RNA". The record is from RNAcentral. Lineage: Eukaryota; Viridiplantae; Streptophyta; Magnoliopsida; Poales; Poaceae.